Molecule: long non-coding RNA, 450 nt
Organism: Amphibalanus amphitrite
Lineage: Eukaryota; Metazoa; Arthropoda; Thecostraca; Balanomorpha; Balanidae
Exons: 3
Source: RefSeq, a predicted model, not a curated record
UUCAUUUCUUAUUUUUCGCCUUAGAUUCUGUUGCCAUAGUGACCGCUCGUGCAAGUAGGUACUUUUUGUUACAAAAAAGCAAGACUUAUAUUUCGUCAUGACAGAGGAAACAGACCGUAGUAGCCUCUUACCAGGUACCAUUAGACUCUCAGGGGCAGUAUCAAUUCACCUAACGGAGGCAUCUCGCCGGCCGCUUGGUGUCAACGAUCCAGAUAGCGCCUUACAGCUCGACUCUGGUGUUUCUGAGACUGAUGUGGACAUUUCAAUCGGUUCCUAUUGUGAUGUCGGCCCUGUCAUCUGACGGCAUAUUCCGGCACCAACGGCAGCAGAUGGGUGUCUUGGACUGGAUCAAGUCUAACUCUAUACAAACGUUAUAAUUGUAUUUAGCACAAUAAUGUAUUUUCCAUCUGCUGAAUCUAGUUUCGCUGAACCAUUUUAUUUUAUUGCAAA